AAGGUUUGACAUGGAGGGCAAAGUUGAAGAAAUUCAACGGAGGUUAUCCCGACACAGGUGGUGCAUGGUCGUCGUCAGUUCGUGCUGUGAAGCAUAUGCUUAAGUGCUAUAACGAACGCAACCCUCGUAUUUAGUUACUAUCAUUCAGUUGAGAACUCUAAAUAGACUGCUAAGGUAACUUAGAGGAAGGAGAGGAUGACGUCUGAUCAUCAUGCCCCUUAUAUCUUGG
Molecule: ribosomal RNA, 229 nt
Filed under: uncultured bacterium
Lineage: Bacteria
Description: partial 16S ribosomal RNA
Rfam family: Bacterial small subunit ribosomal RNA
Source: RNAcentral